This is a non-coding RNA of Mogibacterium pumilum, 74 nucleotides long. NCBI's taxonomy places the organism in Bacteria, Bacillati, Bacillota, Clostridia, Peptostreptococcales, Anaerovoracaceae. The record is from Rfam.
GGGCUUGUAGCUCAGGUGGUUAGAGCGCACGCCUGAUAAGCGUGAGGUCGGAGGUUCGAGUCCUCCCAAGCCCA